AAGUUUUCGAUUUUUCCAUUUAAAAAAAAAAAUUAUAUUCACUUUCCUUGUUUUUUAAAUUUUCGGAUUGUUCUCCAAGUUUUCAAAAAAAAAAAAAAAAUAUAUCUCUCUUUCCUUUUUCAAACCUGAUUCGAUUUUUGUCUUAACUUUUUGCAUUUACUCUUAGCCUUGGUCGAUACUCAUAGUAUCCGACCCAAGCAACUAUUUAACCCCCUCUUGCCUUUAAUCUUUCUUUGAGUUUCUUUUCAGAGAACUAUGGGAGAUGUAGGUCAAGACCAAGCGGCCAUAAACGCUCAGCUCCUAGCUGACAAUGAAGAACUGAGGGCGAGCCUUAGGACUAUCACAGCCGAGCUUGCUCAGCUACGGCAGGGAGGCAGGCCCAACGGACCUCGACCACCAGGAAGGCAUCAGCCGGACCGCAUGACACUGACUCGGACGC
RNAcentral lists this long non-coding RNA (439 nucleotides) under Brassica rapa (field mustard). RNAcentral's name for it is "long non-coding RNA (BRAP_LNC008390)". The record is from RNAcentral. Lineage: Eukaryota; Viridiplantae; Streptophyta; Magnoliopsida; Brassicales; Brassicaceae.